GUGAACGCUGGCGGUAGGCCUAACACAUGCCAGUCGCACGGCAGCACAGUAAGAGCUUGCUCUUACGGGUGGCGAGUGGCGGACGGGUGAGGAAUACAUCGGAAUCUACUUUUUCGUGGGGGAUAACGUAGGGAAACUUACGCUAAUACCGCAUACGACCUACGGGUGAAAGCAGGGGAUCUUCGGACCUUGCGCGAUUGAAUGAGCCGAUGUCGGAUUAGCUAGUUGGCGGGGUAAAGGCCCACCAAGGCGACGAUCCGUAGCUGGUCUGAGAGGAUGAUCAGCCACACUGGAACUGAGACACGGUCCAGACUCCUACGGGAGGCAGCAGUGGGGAAUAUUGGACAAUGGGCGAAAGCCUGAUCCAGCCAUACCGCGUGGGUGAAGAAGGCCUUCGGGUUGUAAAGCCCUUUUGUUGGGAAAGAAAAGCAGCAGGUUAAUACCCCGCUGUUCUGACGGUACCCAAAGAAUAAGCACCGGCUAACUUCGUG
RNAcentral lists this ribosomal RNA (491 nucleotides) under uncultured bacterium. RNAcentral's name for it is "partial 16S ribosomal RNA". It matches the Rfam family "Bacterial small subunit ribosomal RNA", at positions 29 to 507 of the family's 1533-position model. The record is from RNAcentral.